Molecule: long non-coding RNA, 429 nt
Filed under: Cucumis sativus (cucumber)
Lineage: Eukaryota; Viridiplantae; Streptophyta; Magnoliopsida; Cucurbitales; Cucurbitaceae
Description: long non-coding RNA (CSAT_LNC002189)
Source: RNAcentral
GUAUUGUAUUCCCCAAAAGUUUUGCUAAAUACUUCACUCACUACGUAUUUUACUUAUAUGUUGAGUUUCCCUUCCUAGGUGUUCACACAUGAAGCUAAGUAAAGAAGGUUAAGAUAAGUCAUUAUGUGGGAAAGCUGAUCAAGUGAUCUGUUUUUGGAUAUUUCAAAGUUAUUAGCAUUUAAGAGGGUUGCAUCCCAGUUGUGUGUGAGGGAUAAGUCUUUGUCCUAAAAUAGGUUGCUAGGCGAUCAAGAAGGAAGAGUAGAAAGGAGUAAUUAUACUCCUAAAUAUCUAGAGGGUGGAGGACGACAUCCCAGUUUGAUAAGAGUCAGGCGAGGUGUUCAAAGCCUAUGAUUUACCUUUGUACUAUGCGAGAAAUGAAAAUGUAAUUUUAAAGCAUUUGAUCGAGUAAUAAAAGUGAGAUAUUUUCUA